This 247-nucleotide ribosomal RNA is filed under the name uncultured bacterium. Its description in RNAcentral is "partial 16S ribosomal RNA". It matches the Rfam family "Bacterial small subunit ribosomal RNA", at positions 524 to 776 of the family's 1533-position model. The record is from RNAcentral.
UACGUAGGGGCGAGCGUUGUCCGGAGUACUGGGCGUAAAGCGCACGCAGGCGGUCUGCUAAGUUUGGAGUGACAGUUGGUGGCUUAACUGCCAAAGUGCUUCGAAACUGACAGACUUGAGGGCUUCAGAGGGACACGGAAUUCCGGGUGGAGUGGUGAAUGCGUAGAGAUCCGGAGGAACACCAAAGGCGAAGGCAGUGUCCUGGGAGUACCUGACGCUCAGGUGCGAAGCCAGGGAGGCGAACGGG